This is a non-coding RNA of Potamilus streckersoni, 73 nucleotides long. NCBI's taxonomy places the organism in Eukaryota, Metazoa, Mollusca, Bivalvia, Unionida, Unionidae. The record is from the annotation of a GenBank genome assembly.
GCUCCUGUGGCCUAGUGGUUAGAGCGUCCGCCUCUGAUGAGGGAGGUGGUGGGUUCGAUCCCCGGUGGAGUCA